ACGGGACCCCGCACAAGCGUGGAGUAUGUGGUUAAUUCGAAGCAAACGCGUAAGAACCUUUACCAGGUCUUGACAUGGUGUUUAAGGCCCUAGAGAUAGGGAGAUAAUAAGCACACACAGGUGGUGCAUGGUUGUCGUCAGCUCGUGUCGUGAGAUGUUGGGUUAAGUCCCGCAACGAGCGCAACCCUUGUCUUUAGUUACCAUCAUUCAGUUGGGGACUCUAGAGAGACUGCCGGUGAUAAACCGGAGGAAGGUGGGGAUGACGUCAAAUCAUCAUGCCCCUUAUGACCUGGGCUACACACGUACUACAAUGGCGCAUACAACGAGCUGCGAGAUGGUGACAUCAAGCGAAUCUCUUAAAAUGCGUCUCAGUUCAGAUUGGAGUCUGCAACUCGACUCCAUGAAGUCGGAAUCGCUAGUAAUCGCGGAUCAGAAUGCCGCGGUGAAUACGUUCCCGGGCCUU
RNAcentral lists this ribosomal RNA (463 nucleotides) under uncultured Erysipelothrix sp. RNAcentral describes it as "bacterial SSU rRNA". It matches the Rfam family "Bacterial small subunit ribosomal RNA", at positions 913 to 1382 of the family's 1533-position model. Lineage: Bacteria; Bacillati; Bacillota; Erysipelotrichia; Erysipelotrichales; Erysipelotrichaceae. The record is from RNAcentral.